This 484-nucleotide ribosomal RNA is filed under the name uncultured bacterium. Its description in RNAcentral is "partial 16S ribosomal RNA". It matches the Rfam family "Bacterial small subunit ribosomal RNA", at positions 30 to 507 of the family's 1533-position model. The record is from RNAcentral.
AUUGAACGCUGGCGGCAGGCCUAACACAUGCAAGUCGAGCGGAUGAAGGGAGCUUGCUCCUGGAUUCAGCGGCGGACGGGUGAGUAAUGCCUAGGAAUCUGCCUGGUAGUGGGGGAUAACGUCCGGAAACGGGCGCUAAUACCGCAUACGUCCUGAGGGAGAAAGUGGGGGAUCUUCGGACCUCACGCUAUCAGAUGAGCCUAGGUCGGAUUAGCUAGUUGGUGGGGUAAAGGCCUACCAAGGCGACGAUCCGUAACUGGCCUGAGAGGAUGAUCAGUCACACUGGAACUGAGACACGGUCCAGACUCCUACGGGAGGCAGCAGUGGGGAAUAUUGCACAAUGGGCGAAAGCCUGAUCCAGCCAUGCCGCGUGUGUGAAGAAGGUCUUCGGAUUGUAAAGCACUUUAAGUUGGGAGGAAGGGCAGUAAGUUAAUACCUUGCUGUUUUGACGUUACCAACAGAAUAAGCACCGGCUAACUUCGUG